UACGGAGGGUGCAAGCGUUGUCCGGAAUUAUUGGGCGUAAAGAGCUCGUAGGCGGUUUGUCGCGUCUGCUGUGAAAACCCGAGGCUCAACCUCGGGCCUGCAGUGGGUACGGGCAGACUAGAGUGCGGUAGGGGAGAGUGGAAUUCCUGGUGUAGCGGUGGAAUGCGCAGAUAUCGGGAGGAACACCAGUAGCGAAGGCGGCACUCUGGGCCGGUACUGACGCUGAGGCGCGAAAGCGUGGGGAGCGAACAGG
Molecule: ribosomal RNA, 253 nt
Filed under: uncultured bacterium
Lineage: Bacteria
Description: partial 16S ribosomal RNA
Rfam family: Bacterial small subunit ribosomal RNA
Source: RNAcentral